GGUGAUACAAUUAGAGGAUUUACAUCUUCUGACCAGGCAUGGAUCACAUUGAUCGGAGAGAAGUUAGAUGCUACACUGACAAAAGUUAUUUGACAUUCAUAGUGGCAGUGCAAAAUGGAUGUUUUAAGAUAUUCUAACAGCAGUAUCAUAAGUUCAAGUGUUUGCUAUAAUCAUGUCUAAAUUCAAAGUGAUUUUCCUUCCUUUAGUUUAUGUUGCACAGAUGGCCAUGCAUUCUAGACAAUAAA
This 245-nucleotide unclassified non-coding RNA is filed under the name Hevea brasiliensis (rubber tree). The record is from RNAcentral. Lineage: Eukaryota; Viridiplantae; Streptophyta; Magnoliopsida; Malpighiales; Euphorbiaceae.